AACGCACCUUGCGCCCUUUGGUAUUCCGAAGGGCAUGCCUGUUUGAGUGUCAUGUUAAUCUCAAUCCCCUUGUUUCUUAAUUGAGGCUCGGAGGUUGGACUUGGAGUUUGCUGGCCCCCUCUUGUGGUCGGCUCCUCUUAAAUGCAUUAGCUGGACUUUGGUUCUGCGUGAAGGUGUAAUAGUUUAUUCGCCAUUAGCGCUUUCCUAACGAGUCUGCUUCUAAUCGUCUUCGGACAAGGAUUAAGUUCCUUCUUGACUCUUUGACCUCAAAUCAGGUAGGACUACCCGCUGAACUUAA
RNAcentral lists this unclassified non-coding RNA (298 nucleotides) under uncultured fungus. RNAcentral describes it as "partial contains 5.8S ribosomal RNA, internal transcribed spacer 2, and large subunit ribosomal RNA". The stretch from base 1 to 52 matches the Rfam family "5.8S ribosomal RNA", at positions 103 to 154 of the family's 154-position model. The record is from RNAcentral. RNAcentral also lists the same sequence under 1 other name. Lineage: Eukaryota; Fungi.